Long non-coding RNA from Zea mays, 881 nucleotides. RefSeq lists it as uncharacterized. The transcript has 4 exons. The record is from RefSeq and is a predicted model, not a curated record. NCBI's taxonomy places the organism in Eukaryota, Viridiplantae, Streptophyta, Magnoliopsida, Poales, Poaceae.
GAUAUUUGAGUUUAUGCCAAGUGAUAUUUUGGUUGUGGAGUUUGGCAAGGUUCAGUGUCCUUGGGCAGGGCAUGCAAACCUGCGUGGAGCUGAAGACAGGCCACGUAUGAUUGGUCCAUGCGUUGCUGGCACCCUUGGAGUCUCUCUUCCUCAUGCUGUGGUUGAGCUCGGUGACACCUGCUCCUUAUUCAAUGAUAUAAAACUUGAUUCAGUGAGGAUGCUCCCUGUCCUUAAGUCUGGUCCGUGUUUAUCACCAGAGUGACACAGCUCUUGAGUUCAAGUCGAUAUACAUCCUCUCCCCAGCCAAUAGCUCGGUCUGCCCUUGUGCUUAGCGCUCCAACACUCAGUCUGGUGACCACGCUCACCCAACUGCUCACCUCACCGUGGCCGAGACGCUUGGAGCAAUUGCAUCCCCGGGUGGUCAGAACAGUGCCACGCUGCCGCAGAACAGAGUCGUGGACAGCUCCACCGCUGGCUUUCCAAUCCAUGUUGAUCUCGAAUGAUCUUGUGCGAGCACUGAAGGUGUGGUAGGUCGUCGACGUCGUGGCCAGCGAGGGCGGGUGCUUGGCUCGAGCAUGAAAACAUUGGAGCUUGUUAACAUGGACGUGUUUUGACGGUGAUUAUGAUGCGCCUGAGGUCAGCGCCGCUGUGGCUGGUUGGGCCGGCUGAGUGAUGAGGAGUAUUCAAGGAGUUCCUGUGGCUGGAGGGCGUUUCCAGUUCUGGGGGAGGAUUAGUUAGGUUUGGGUAUAAGCUUUGGAGGGUUCCUACCUUCUUGCUAUUGUAAUAAGUUAUGCACUUUGAGUAUAUCAGGACUUGUAAUAAAUGUAACUCUUCCUAUGUAAUGACCUUCAGUUUUAGAAAUGAAAAUAAUAUUUUGUAAA